GCUGGCGGCACGCCUAACACAUGCAAGUCGAACGAAGUAGCAAUACUUAGUGGCGAACGGGUGAGUAUAAUGUGGGUAUCUGCCUUUUGGUUUGGAAUAACACGGGGAAACUUGUGCUAAUACCGGAUAAGCCUUCACAGGGAAAGUUUUAACGCCAAAAGAUGAGCCCGCACUUGAUUAGCUAGUUGGUAAGGUAAUGGCUUACCAAGGCUACGAUCAAUAGCUGAUCUGAGAGGAUGAUCAGCCACAUUGGGACUGAGACACGGCCCAAACUCCUACGGGAGGCAGCAGUGGGGAAUCUUGCACAAUGGGGGAAACCCUGAUGCAGCGAUGCCGCGUGAGUGAAGAAGGCCUUUGGGUUGUAAAGCUCUUUCGUCGGGGAAGAAAAUGACUGUACCCGAAUAAGAAGGUCCGGCUAACUUCGUGCCAGCAGCCGCGGUAAUACGAAGGGACCUAGCGUAGUUCGGAAUUACUGGGCUUAAAGAGCUCGUAGGUGGUUAGAAAAGUUGGUGGUGAAAUCCCAAGGCUUAACCUUGGAACUGCCAUCAAAACUUUUUAACUAGAGUAUGAUAGAGGAAAGUGGAAUUUCUAGUGUAGAGGUGAAAUUCGUAGAUAUUAGAAAGAACACCAAUUGCGAAGGCAACUUUCUGGAUCAUUACUGACACUGAGGAGCGAAAGCAUGGGUAGCGAAGAGGAUUAGAUACCCUCGUAGUCCAUGCCGUAAACGAUGUGUGCUAGACGUUGGAAACUUAGUUUUCAGUGUCGCAGCAAAAGCGUUAAGCACACCGCCUGGGGAGUACG
This 801-nucleotide ribosomal RNA is filed under the name uncultured Pelagibacteraceae bacterium. RNAcentral's name for it is "bacterial SSU rRNA". It matches the Rfam family "Bacterial small subunit ribosomal RNA", at positions 35 to 884 of the family's 1533-position model. The record is from RNAcentral. Lineage: Bacteria; Pseudomonadati; Pseudomonadota; Alphaproteobacteria; Candidatus Pelagibacterales; Candidatus Pelagibacteraceae.